AAGCGCCUACCCAAGCUGGUUCUCCGAGCCUCUUGAGUCUCUUUGCACCAGGCCUGCGCUCCUCUACAGAUCCCGCAGAUCACGGGCACGCAUUCGCCACCCACCGAACAUCGGCUUGAGAAAUGAGCUUAACGUUGGAAUAACUUUGAGAGGUUUCAGAGUCAGGAGCCUGUGAAAUAACCCUCAGGAAACACUGGGGACUCAAUAAUUAGUGAGUUAGCAUCAGAGGACAUAUUUACUCUGAACAUGAUAUGUUCAGCUUGGUUUUCUGGAUUCUGGAGGUUGAUGUCAAGAAUGAGAAGAAGAGCCUCUUAAAUCUGGAAGGCCUGGAGAUGGAAAGCAGACUGCAUUAUUUGAAGAGAUUGCAAGCUGCUGGACACACGGGGAAUGAAAAGUGAAAAUGAAGAGGUGGUGAGGCAUGGACAAAAGAUGAAGCAAAUCUACCUAAAACCAGCACUGACCCAGGAAUGAGGAGACCUGGAUUCUAGUCUCACAUCAUGUCCCUCUGAGUUUUAUAAUUCUGGGUAAGUCACUUAACUUCCAUGGCCCUCAGGUUUCUUAUUUUUUGAAACUGUACCAGUUGAGUAGGCUUUUUCCAGGUCUCUCUUUCUGUUUCUUCGACUGUUCUUGCAUGCUAAAAUAUAAACAUAUUUGUUAACUGAUAACAGCUUAAAAGGCAUCUGUCUUCAGGGUCAUUUGUAUUGUAAUAGUAUUCAAAACCUUUCAGAAAAGUUCUAACA
Molecule: long non-coding RNA, 740 nt
Filed under: Papio anubis (olive baboon)
Lineage: Eukaryota; Metazoa; Chordata; Mammalia; Primates; Cercopithecidae
Description: lncRNA (ENSPANG00000040689.1)
Source: RNAcentral